Molecule: RNA transcript, 6862 nt
Organism: Phyllopteryx taeniolatus (common seadragon)
Lineage: Eukaryota; Metazoa; Chordata; Actinopteri; Syngnathiformes; Syngnathidae
Gene: ankle2
Gene name: ankyrin repeat and LEM domain containing 2
Exons: 16
Source: RefSeq, a predicted model, not a curated record
ACAAAUAAAUGUGACAAUUUAUAUUGCAUAGUUACAUUUAGUUUAAAGACAAGUACGAAAUUAUCAUUGAAAUUAGAAAAGGAAAAUAGACACACCACACUCAAUCCAAAAAUAGAAUAGCUGUUAUGAACCCUAAGUACCACAAAUAAUUUUAGGAACGUUGUGUAAAUGUAUAUGCGCUAUGUAUUAAUGUUAAUGUAUAUAUUCCUGUAAUAGAUCCUUGCAGAAAAGAAAAAAUAAAUCCCACAGGGAACAUUCGCACUCCCUUGAAACUGCGCAUGCGUAGACUACGUUGUAAACAAUGAGACGAGACUAUCAGACCGUCCUCAUCUUUGUUACACUUUGAUUUGUGUCAAACUAUUGAGGACCUCCCUAAGCUCAUCGUAAAAUACAAAACAUGUUGCUCUGUGAGUAUGAGUACUCAUUUGUUACAAGAUUUUAUUAGAUGCACUUUUAGUUGCUUUUUUUUUAUCGCCAUCAUCACUCCGGAGAGGUUCGAAUUUGUACGUUGCAGCCCGAGAAGCCACCUCAAAUGACAGUUGGGUGUGACAGCAUGCAAUGAAUCCACCAACGCAGCCGAUGUUAUCAGAGCCGCUUGUACCAUGCUAGCCAUGCUCACUACCCGGCUGUCCAACCUCAUUGAUAUGAUAGCAAAGUUGCUAGCACAGGCAAGCUCUACGUCUAUGUGCUACUUUUAAAAAAAAAUUAAUGCUAGUUUGAAUAUAACAACAGGGUUACGAGUGGCUUAACGUCUCUACCAGGGAGUGAUAUAAAUGAAGGAAACGCGGAUAAGCACUUUGUGACAGAUUCGGCAGCGCACAGCUAGGUGGCAAGCCUGAACUAUAUGACUGUAGAAAAAGAAGGGAUGCAGGUUAUUGCACCUGCAAUAAAAAAAAUAUUAAUUUGAAAUAAUAUAAAUUGCCAAUUGCUCUGGGACUAACUGAUAUGUUUUGUGAUUUAGUUAUCCUUGCCAAAAUUCUCAGUUGCUAUUGUCAAAAGCAGAAAAAUAUCUUUCAAAGAACAAUGAUCUUCUGUGGAAUUGAUGUCAAGAUGCAUUCAUUGCAAGUAUGAAUUGUACAUACUUUAAAUGUUGUAGUCCCUGCAAAGCAAUAGGAGUGACAAGGAUUUGACCCUUGGAUGGCACGCCAGGAGGUCACGAUUCGCCACUGAUUUUCAAGCUUUCAACGAUUAUUGAAAAAAACAUGUUAUAGUACUUUAAACACUAUUCUAUUAAUGGUGGUUGACUUGGCUAUCGGUUCACUUUUUUUUUUUUUUUUUUUUUAUAAAGCUUUACGGCCACAAUUUUUUUUUCUCAUUUCAUAGCCCUGCAUGUGUUAAGCAAGCUUUAUACAUGUUCCUGUUUUAAACAGUUUUUUCCACAGUGCUAUUCAGUGAUAAUUUUGUGGAAAGUACAAACAGUCAUCUGUGACAGGAGCUGAAGAAUGGAGGCAGUUUUGACCAGGCUGAAGGGCCUAACUGCUGAUGAACUGCGUGAGGAAUUUGCCCGGGCAGACCUGAAGUGCGUCGCCAUCACAGCCACCACACGAUCAAUCUUUGAAAAGAAGUUGGCACGAAUGCUUGCUGGGCCAGAGAGUAGUACCACAGAAACCGACAACGGUUCCUCUGCAAGGGAUGCAGAUGCCGUGACUUCAGUAGCUGACCAUGACAAACCUUUACCGUGUGCCAUCUCAAGUGUUUCGGAAAGCAGCGGCCCAAAUGAUGAGCUGGACUUUGGCUAUGGUGUGGGGCUUAACCCGCCAGAGGAAGAGGAGAUCUCUAACUCUCAAUCCAAAUUGAAAACUCCUUCAAAAGCAGCACAAUUAUCUCCAGCCUUUUAUUAUGGCGUAUGUCCGUCAUGGGAGGACAUUUUGUCUCGAAAUGAGAGAGCACAUGUGUAUACAGAUCAGAAAGAUGCCCUUCAAGCUGUGAAGGGGAUGAAGGGAGCACGCUUCAAAGCCUUUUCCAACCGCGAGGAUGCUGAGAACUUUGCCAAGGGGAUGUGUGACUAUUUCCCCUCUCCCAAUAAAUCUUUGACAUCCGUAUCUCCUGUUAAACCAGGCCAAAUCGUCAGUAAAGACAUCAUGGAGGUGGAUACCAUUAACAGGGAGAGGGCCAACAGUUUUAAGAGCCCACGCACCCAGGACUUGACUGCCAAGCUGAGAAAAGUUGUAGAAAAGGGAGAUGAGGUGGCCUUCACUGAGAUAGUCUCGAGCAACCCACGCUAUCUCAUUGGCUCAGGGGAUAACCCCACUAUUGUUCAGGAGGGUUGCAGGUACAACGUAAUGCAUGUGGCAGCCAAGGAGAACCAAGCAGGCAUCGCCCAACUUCUGCUGGAUACUUUGGAGAACCCAGAGUUCAUGCGCCUCAUGUACCCCGAUGACCAGGAAGACAUGCUGCAGAAGCGUAUCCGUUACAUUGUCGAUCUUUACCUCAACACUCCAGAUAAGGCGGGUUUUGAAACACCACUCCACUUUGCCUGCAAGUUUGGGUGUCCAGACGUGGUCAACGUGCUGUGCUCGCAUCCUGACACAGAUAAGAACCGCAAGAACAGUGAUGACCACAAACCUUGUGAUAUUAUUUGUAGCAGAAAGAACACAACGACAGAAGAAGUGAGACAGAAAAUAUGUGACUAUUUGGAGGACCGCUGCUACAUCCCCUUGCUCAGGGCAGCUGACAACACCUCUCAACCCGUCAUUGGUGCUCCCUGGUCACCUGAAGCCUCAGAGACUCUCUCACUGAUCCAACAACACGCAAAAAACCCAUUGGAUCCACUGAUGACUGUCGCAGCCUUUGCUGGUCCACUGAGUCCCUCUAAAGCAAGUGAUUUUCGCCGUUCCUGGAAGACGCCGCCUAGGACUUCAGAAGCAAAGCAUUUCCACAACAUCCUGAAGUCGGAUCCUGACCGUGGUGCAGAGCGGGUUGGCAGAGAAUUGGCUCAUGAGAUGGGUCUCCCCUGGGCGGAAUACUGGGACUUCCUUGACUGUUUCGUAGAUCUGUCAUCAAUCAAGGGUCUUCAGAAGCUUGAGGAGUACCUGAGUAGGAAGGAUUUCUUUCCACGGACUUGUGAAGAAGGGGAGAAUGAGACCAUCAACAAAUUUAAAACUCCUUCCCCAGGCAAGCCCAAGAAGUUCUGCAACUCCAUCUCUGUUGGUGCCUUCUUGGAUGAGGGUGAGGACAUCAGCCUUGAGGAGAUGAAGAAUAGGCAGAAUGCAGCACUUACCAGCAUCACCUCCUCCGCCACAUCCAUGGACAACCUGAAGGGUGCAGUGGGAGGUCACGACUUCCACAUCAUGCCAAUGGGACUGAAGUAUCGGGGGGGGGACCUGAUUGAGACCGCAGCCGAGCAGGACCUGCUGUCACCUGUCGUCUGUAAAAAUGAGGUGUGCGCUUCCCUCUCAAGAGAUGGGAUUCCCAAUGGAGAUAAGGUCUCUCCUCGCAGCUCCCCGUCCGCCUGCAGCAUGCUGUCACCCGUCUCCAACCUCUUGGUGGAGUUUGAACGCAUGUCGCUACAAGACCGGCCGGACAGCCCUGACGGAUGCAGGGAGAGGAGGAGCAGUAGCGGGAACCGACACAGAGAGACCCUCGACUCCUACAGCUCCGCCAUUGGCACAGACCAGAGCUGUGGGCUGAAGCGACUGUCGAUUGGCCACGGCAGCCACAACAACGAGGCCUUGAAGGCAGGUGACGCAGAGGAGAGGUGCAGCAGCGGCAGCUCUGAAGAGUUCUUGGAUGCAGACGCGGACAGCCUGGAAUUGAUGAGCAGGACAAGGGGCACGGCUUCAGGGGUGCGCAACCUCUGUGCAAGGUCCAAAUCAUGGGAUCAUGGUGGGAGGGACCUGAGUAGCUCGGGGUCAUCUGCCUCCUCCUAUAAGUCCUUGGAUAAUUCCCAUGAGUUCCUUGCCAGGACCCCACCUCACAUUAGAAGAGGACUCUUUAUCCAUGGUCUCUGGCCAAAGCCACACCCCUCACCGGCGUGCACGCACAAGUCACCAUCUGACUUUCCUGUGGUCACCUUAUAGCAAGUUUCCCAUUUCCAGCAUGUCUCUUUCACCGAGUUCCCAAGAGGAGAGCACGGCUAUUUGGACCCCGGCCAACUACAACCCGUGGCCGAGUAUAUCUCUGGGUAGUAGACAAGGAGGAGAGCUGACAGACUGAGUUUAGAGGAAUUCUAUAUCGUGUUGAACUUACUGCGACAUGAUCCCAGCUCCAUGUUUUGACAUCUGCAAUGAAACAUCUGGGGAAGCCCAUCCGACUCUUCAGCCCCUGAUCAACUGAUUGGUGUCUGCUAUCCCCAAGGACAUUAGAUAGAAUUCAGACAAGGCAGAGAACAACGAACAGCAUUUUAUAUUUUCAAAGAAUUGCUCCAGUAGAAAUGUGCAUGUUAUAUUACUUUAUAAAUAUUUGUAUAUCCAUUUGCACCUUAUUUUUUAAUAUACUUCCAGGAAUGUCCGCACAUUUACUGCUAUAAUUUUGAAAUUGUUCAAUUGUUAUCAAUAAAGAACUGGAAAUGAAUGGUUCCUUCUUCACAAUUUCCAUAUAGAAAUCAGUGUUACAUUUCAUAUCUCCUUCCAGUUCAUAAACAUGCUUCAUCAGGGAUUGUAUAUUUAAAACAAGAAAUAUGAACAAAUGUAAAGGGUUGAAACAUUUUAUUUAUGUUAUAGGCAUGGUUCAAUUACAUCAUUCCAAAAGGUUUGUCCGGUAUUCCAGCACUGUCUCGGGUCACUCUAAUAUUGAUGUCAGUGUCCUUCAGAAAGAAGAAAUAAUUUAGAUAACUAAUAAAUGCAUUUCACGCACAACUCUAAAUACUAAUAACAUUUUUCUUUUGACAGAUUUUGACAAACGUGUACAAGAAAUAAAAAUUAAUACAAAUAGACUUGAUGUCAUUGAGUAAUUCCAUCCAUCCAUUUUCUGAGCCGCUUAUCCUCACAAGGGUCAGGGUAGUGCUGGAGCCUAUCGGGAGUGCUGGAGCCUAUCCCAGCUAUCAACGGGCAGAAGGGUACACCCUGAACUGAUUGCCAGCCAAUCGCAGGGCACAUAUAAACAAACCACCAUUUGCACUCACAUUCACACCUACGGGCAAUUUAGAGUCUUCAAUUAACCUACAACGCAUGUUUUUGGAAUGUGGGAGGAAACCGGAGUACCCGGAGAAAACCCACAACAAAAUAUAGAUUUAGUAAUGCCAUAAAGCAUGGAUGUUUAUAAUUACAUUAUACAUAUUUGUGUGGUUGUUGUUUUUUUCCAGAGACAGCCAUAGGAUUGAAGUAAAACUCACUAUGGCCUCUGCUGAGUUGAGUUUGCAACGCCUGAUUAGAUCAUCAGGCCCUAGCUGUUGUAAUUUGUGGUAGGCCACUGGUGACAGACAACCUGUAAUUUCAUUUUAUUUUAAUUGGUUUAUUUCAAAAGGACAAGAACAUACUGAUUAACAACAGUUAUUCAAAUAAUGCAGUGUGACAAAAAUCAAUUAAAAAAAUAUUUCUGGUUAGGUAAUGAGUUUGCUGGGUUGCUUUUAUAAAACCCCUAACCACAUCAAUGGUAUUUGUUUUUUUAUUCAAUAAACAAAAGAAAAGAAAAAAAAGUAUAUUGGCAAAAGUAGUACAUUAUGUAAUUGUGUACCUAUCAUAUUGUACCUGAAAGGCAGAUAUUUGGGGAUUUUCUUUUGCCAUCUUGGAUCACAAUGUUAGUCAGUCUUUGGUGUGUCUCAGUACAUCUUGAGAUCAUCUGUCAUUGUUCACCCAGGUACUUCAGGGAAAAGAAUGUCACAAAUAUGCAAUCAAUUGAGUAGGAAUAAAUACAAAUCUUGUAACUUUACAGCAUCCUACGAAAGUACUUGCAUGGAAAUGUGUAUGUUGUUCAAUUCCCUUUCAUUUCUGUCCACCGAUGAGAAACUAAAUACACAAAAAAGAAACACUAUUCUAUUACAUGUUGCAGGGAAUGAUAUAAGGAGCAACAUUAUUAUAGCACUUGUACUAAGCACUGUACACGAAGUAACUACAUUUUGUCCCCUAAAAUGAAUACCUUGGGUCCAACUUCUUUUAUGGACCUUGAGUUUCAGUUCUUUCCAUAGAUGUUCGAUUGGAUUCAAGUCAGGUGAUUGGCUGGGCCAUUCAAGCAGCUUUAUUUUUUUUUCUUGGAAACCAAUUGAGAGUUUCCUUGGUAGAAUGUUUUGGAUCAUUAUCUUGAUGAAAUGUCCACUCGUUUUAUUUUCAUCAUCCUCGUAGAUGGCAUCAGAUUUUUCUCAAGAAUGUCUCGGUACAUUUGCCCAUUCAUCCUUCCUUCAAUAAUGUGAAGUUUACCAGUACCAUUUGCGAAAAGCAGCCCCACACCAUCAUGUUCUCACCUCCGAAUUUAACUGUUGGUAUGGUGUUUUUAGACUGAUCUGCAUUUCUCCUCCAAACGUGGUGUGCAUUAUGUCAUCCAAAGAGUUUAGUUUUGCUCUCAUCAGACCUGACUAUAUUCUCCCAGUAUUUAACUGGCAUGUCCGAAUGUUGUUCAGAAAACACGAGCUUUGACAUGCUUUUUUUUUCAGCAAUGGGGUCUUGCGUGGUGAGCGUGCAUACAGGCCAUGGCGGCGGAGUGCAUUACUCACUUUUUUCUUUGUGACAACAGUACCAGGUCUUUUUGAAGCUCUCCAAAGGUGUUCCUUAACUCUUGGACAACUCUUAUGAUUAUUCUUUGGACUCCUCUGUCAGAAAUCCUGCGAGGAGCACCUGAUCGAGGCAAAUCUAUUGUGGGAUUCGCCUACCAAGUUGGACAGAGAUGUGUUGUCAGCAAUAGGGGAUGUAGAGGGGGAUCUCCAAAAAUAUCCCAGUAUUCACAAGUGGGUGAGCACAAUGACGUCCUACUCUUCCUCAGACAUGCAAAG